Molecule: ribosomal RNA, 5508 nt
Filed under: Triticum aestivum (bread wheat)
Lineage: Eukaryota; Viridiplantae; Streptophyta; Magnoliopsida; Poales; Poaceae
Description: partial small subunit ribosomal RNA
Source: RNAcentral
AUGGACUUCCCGGCCGACGGCGGCGGCAACAACCCCCCGCCCCGCCGCCGCGGCGGCCGCGCCUCCAACGCCGACAAGGGCAAGGAGCAGCAGGAGCCCUCGGAGAGCUCCCGCGUGCGCGAGGCCGAGCGGAUGCUGGGCCUCAGCUUCGACGGCAUGGACGACGACGACGAGGGCCACGGGGCCUUCCCCCACGGCCUCACCUCCGCCAGCAGCGCCCUGCAGGGGCUGCUCAGGAAGCUCGGCGCCGGCCUGGACGACAUGCUGCCGUCGUCCGGGCUCUCGGCCGCCGCCGCGGCUGCCUCCUCGUCGUCCAUGUCUGGGCCGAACGGCGCGCGGAUGAAGAGCAUGCUCGCGGGUCUCCGCGCCGACGGGGAGGAGGGGCGCCAGGUUGAGGCACUCACGCAGCUCUGCGAGAUGCUGUCCAUCGGCACGGAGGACACCCUCGCGGGCUUCUCAGUGGACUCGUUCGUGCCUGUUCUGGUCGGGCUGCUCAACCAUGAGAGCAACCCCGACAUCAUGCUGCUCGCCGCGCGGGCCCUGACCCACCUCUGCGACGUGCUUCCGUCGUCCUGCUCUGCCGUUGUGCACUAUGGCGCCGUGGCAUGCUUCUGCGCCCGGCUUCUCACCAUUGAAUAUAUGGACCUUGCUGAGCAGUCCUUACAAGCACUCAAGAAGAUAUCCCAGGAGCAUCCAACUGCCUGCUUGAGGGCUGGCGCGCUAAUGGCAGUGCUAUCGUAUCUUGACUUCUUCUCCACCGGUGUUCAAAGAGUUGCGUUAUCUACAGCUGCCAAUAUGUGUAGGAAGCUUCCUUCAGACGCCUCAGAUUUUGUAAUGGAAGCGGUUCCACUGCUAACAAAUCUUCUGAACUACCAUGAUGCAAAAGUGCUGGAACAUGCUUCUGUUUGCCUGACUCGUAUAGCAGAAUCGUUUGCUUCAUCCCCAGAGAAAUUGGAUCAAUUGUGCAAUUAUGGAUUGGUUGCACAAGCUGCUAGCUUAAUAGCUGUUAGCAACUCAGCGGGACAAGCAUCACUGAGUACAUUAACAUAUACAGGAGUAAUUCGUGUUCUGUCAAUAUGUGCAAGUGGAUCUUCAUUGGCAGCUAAAACACUCCUCCUCCAUGGAAUUAGCGGCACACUUAAAGAUAUCCUUUCAGGUUCUGGUUUGGUUGCUGGUACAACUGUAUCCCCCACUAGGCCAGCUGAUCAGAAUAUUCAAAAUUUGGAAGAAAGUUGCAUGCUGGAUACUUAUUCUGUGUAUAAUAAUUUGCCAAAUGUUUCCCGUGCUCGUGCUGUUUGUGCAGUCCUGCAAGCUAUAACAAUGUAUGAAAUUGUGAACCUUGCCGACGAAUUGCUUCCUCCUCUACCUGCUGGAACCAUUUCUUUACCAGCGCAUUCCCAUGUUUUUAUGAAAGGCUCUUCUGUAAAGAAACCUGGUUCUAGCAAGCAAGGCGAGUCUGGUUCAACAGAUAUUAAAGUCUCGGGUCGGGAGAAGUUAUUGCGUGAUCAGCCUGAACUUCUCCAGCAAUUUGGCAUGGACAUAUUACCUACCAUGACACAGGUGUAUGGCUCCAGUGUAAAUGGACCAAUACGUCAUAAAUGCUUAUCUGUCAUUGCUAAAUUAAUGUAUUACAGCUCAGCGGAAAUGAUCGAAAUUCUCCAUGGCACAACAAACAUAUCCAGCUUCUUAGCUGGCAUCUUAGCUUGGAAAGAUCCACAUGUGUUGGUUCCCGCUCUCCAGAUAGCUGACAUUCUGAUGGAAAAGCUCCCUGGGACAUUUUCGAAGAUGUUUGUGAGGGAAGGUGUUGUUCAUGCUGUAGAAUCGCUUAUAUGCCAGGAAAUCUCUAGUCCAAUGCUUUUUCAAGUACCACAGCAGGACAAGGAUAUUGAUUCUGGUAUAUGUACAUCUUCACGUUCAAGACGCAGCCGCCGGCGCAGCAGUGCUGGGAAUACUGAUAAUAAUUCCUUGGAUGAACCAAAGGGUUCCCAUACUACUAUUGCCAAUUCACCACCAAGCACGCUAGAAGGUCCAAAUACUAGUAUUCGUGCUUCAGUUAGUGAUCGUGCGAAGUCAUUCAAAGAUAAGUACUUCCCCUCUGAACCCGGCUCAAGUGAUAUUGCAGUUACUGAUGACCUUUUGAAGCUACGGGCACUCUGUGCAAAAUUAAAUGCCACUGCGGACACUGUUAAAACAAAAGCCAAGGGGAAAUCAAAGUCACUGGGAGGUGAUGAUUUUGAUAUCUUAUGCAAUGUCGAGGAACAGUUAGACGACAUCAUAGACAAAAUAUUGUCUGAGCUUAGCAAUGGGGAUGGGGUUUCCACGUUUGAGUUUAUUGGGAGUGGAGUUAUCUCAGCAUUGCUUAACUAUUUGUCUUGUGGAACCUUUGGAAAGGAAAAGGUGUCCGAAGCAAACCUACCCAAGUUGCGUCACCUGGCACUCAGGCGAUAUAAAGCAUUUAUAUAUGUUGCCCUUCCAAAUGAUGCGGUAGGGAAUCAAACUCCAAUGGCAUUCUUAGUUCAAAAACUGCAAAGCGCGUUGUCUUCGCUGGAACGGUUCCCAGUUGUGAUUAGCCAUUCUGGAAGGACGUCCAGUUUGGGAGGAUCUCGUCCAUCCUCUGGAUUAAGUGCUCUAUCCCAGCCCCUGAAGUUGCGCCUGUGUCGAGCAACAGGUGAAAAAACGCUCAAGGAUUAUUCAUCCAAUAUAGUUCUUAUUGAUCCCUUGGCAAGUUUAGCAGCCGUUGAAGAUUUCCUUUGGCCUAGAAUCCAGCGUAGCGAGUCAAUAUCUUAUCCUGCAGUAUCAUCUGGAAAGAAUUCUGAAUCUGUGGCACCUAGUGCAACAGCACCAGUGGCUUCGUCAACUCAAUCUGUCCGGCGGCCCUCAACUAGGUCGAAAUCAUUGGCUGAUGCUGAUUCUGCAACUAAGAAGGAUAUUCAGGAGGGGAGCGGAAACACAUCCAAGGGAAAAGGCAAAGCUGUUGUUAAGUCGACGUCCGAUGAACCAAAAGGACCACAUACUAGGACUGCGGCACGCAGAAAAGUUGCUUCACAGAAAGAUGCAGAAGUGAAGCCACCACACAGUCACAGUAGCUCAGAGGACGAAGAACUGGGCGCAUCUCCCUUUGAGGCUGAUGAUGCUUUGAUGCUUGGUGAUGACGAUGAUGAUGUUUCAGAUGAUGAAGAUGAUGAUCAUGAGGUUCUACGUGGGUCUCUUCCUGACUGUGUUCCAGAGAGUGUUCAUGAUGUAAAACUGGCAGAUGCUGAUGGAUCUAGUAUUGCCUCAAUAGCAAGUGAUAACCAGGCACAACCCUCAUCUGGCUCCAGCAUAAAACAUACUUUUAGUAGCAGGGGAGCAGGUUCUGUUGAACUUAGAAAUCCAAGCACACUUGGUUCGCGGGGCGCGAUGUCGUUUGCUGCAGCUGCCAUGGCUGGGCUUGCUUCUGUUGGUAGUCGUGGUAUCAGAGGUAGCCAGGAUAGGCGUGGCCUUCCACUUGGAACUAGUGCACAUGAGCAUUCGAACAAAUUGAUUUUUACAGCUGGCGGCAAGCAGCUUAGCAAGCAUUUGACCGUAUAUCAAGCUAUGCAACAGCAAGUAGUUCAUGAUGAGGAUGAUGAGGAAAGGCUAGGUGGUUCUGAUUUACCCAAUGAUGGAAGCCGUCUCUGGGGUGAUAUGUUCACUAUAACAUAUCAAAAGGCUGAUAACGAAGUGGAUAGGGAAUCAACCAGAGGUUCAUCUUUAGUGCUGAAAUCGUCCAAAUCAGAACUUUGCAGAGCUACAUCUCAAGAACAAUGUACUUCUCUUCUUGAUAGCAUUUUGCAAGGAGAACUUCCUUGUGAUAUUGAGAAAUCGACCCAAACUUAUAAUAUUUUAGCACUAUUGCGUGUAUUGGAGGGAUUGAAUCAGCUAUCUCCUCGUCUGAGACUACAGGCAACCUGUGAUGAUUUUAUAGAGGGAAAAGUUGGUACCCUGGAUGGGUUAUAUGGCACCGGAGCUAAGUUACCCUCAGAGGAGUUUAUCAGCAGUAAGUUGACACCAAAGCUUGCUCGGCAAAUUCAGGAUGUUCUUGCACUCUGCAGUGGUAGUUUACCUUCUUGGUGUUAUCAGAUGACCAAAGCUUGUCCAUUUCUGUUUCCUUUUGAAACAAGAAGACAACACUUCUACUCCACAGCUUUUGGGUUAUCUAGGGCAUUGAAUCGUCUUCAGCAACAACAGGGUGAUAAUAAUAGCUCAGCGACUGAAAGAGAAGUCCGGAUUGGUAGAUUGCAACGCCAGAAAGUUCGUGUUUCUCGUAACCGGAUCCUGGAUUCUGCUGCCAAAGUAAUGGAGAUGUUCUCCAAUCAGAAGGCUGUUCUUGAAGUUGAAUACUUUGGUGAAGUGGGAACUGGACUUGGUCCAACUUUGGAGUUCUACACCCUCUUAAGUCAUGACCUGCAAAGGGUUGGCUUGGGAUUAUGGAGAUCUGAUUCUGAUUCUUUAGAAGCUAAAAAACUUGAUUCGCAUUCACCUGCUGAUAGCAGGAACUUGGUACAAGCACCUCUUGGCUUGUUCCCUCGGCCUUGGCCACCUAGUACUGCUUCUUCAGAGGGUAGUAAAUUCUUCAAAGUUGUUGAGUAUUUCCGCUUAGUUGGUCGAAUCAUGGCAAAAGCAUUGCAAGAUGGAAGGCUUCUUGAUUUGCCUUUGUCAACAGCAUUUUAUAAGCUUCUACUUGGACAGGAACUUGAUUUGUACGACAUACUAUCUUUUGAUGCUGAGUUUGGUAAAAUACUUCAAGAGUUGCAAGUUCUUGUUGAACGCAAGCGAUAUCUGGAGUCCUGCUCUAGUCAUAGUCAACAGAUAGAAGAAUUGGGCUUUCGUGGUGCUCCUAUUGAAGACCUAUGCUUAGAUUUUACUCUUCCGGGCUAUCCAGAUUUUGUUCUGAAGGAAGGUGAAGAAAAUACAGUGGUCUGCAUUUACAACUUAGAAGAGUACAUUUCGCUGGUAGUGGAUGCUACACUUAAGGCUGGAAUAAUGCGCCAAGUAGAAGCAUUCAAAGCUGGAUUUAAUCAGGUAUUUGAUAUAUCAUCACUCCAAAUAUUUUCUCCUCAAGAGCUUGACUAUCUCAUUUGUGGUCGACGGGAACUUUGGGAGCCGGAGACGCUGGUCGAACAUAUAAAGUUUGAUCAUGGUUAUACCUCGAAGAGUCCAGCAAUUGUCAAUCUACUUGAGAUCAUGACGGAAUUUACUCCGGAGCAACAACAUGCAUUCUGCCAGUUUGUGACUGGUGCUCCUCGGCUUCCACCUGGUGGCUUAGCCUCCCUAAAUCCUAAGCUGACUAUCGUUAGGAAGCACUCCUCGACUGCGGCGAAUACUUCAAAUGCAGCUGGAGCAGCAGAGUCUGCAGAUGACGAUCUGCCUAGUGUCAUGACUUGUGCCAACUAUCUUAAACUUCCGCCAUACUCGACAAAGGAGGUUAUGCACAAGAAGCUGCUUUAUGCUAUCAACGAAGGCCAGGGGUCGUUUGAUCUUUCAUAG